This 253-nucleotide ribosomal RNA is filed under the name uncultured bacterium. RNAcentral describes it as "partial 16S ribosomal RNA". It matches the Rfam family "Bacterial small subunit ribosomal RNA", at positions 524 to 776 of the family's 1533-position model. The record is from RNAcentral.
GACGAACCGAGCGAACGUUGUUCGGAAUAACUGGGCUUAAAGGGCGCGUAGGCGGGCCGCCAAGUCCGAGGUGAAAUCCUCCGGCUCAACCGGAGAACUGCCUCGGAUACUGGAGGUCUCGAGGGUGGUAGGGGCACGCGGAACUGUGGGUGGAGCGGUGAAAUGCGUAGAUAUCCUAAGGAACACCGGUGGCGAAGGCGGCACGCUGGACACCUUCUGACGCUGAGGCGCGAAAGCCAGGGGAGCAAACGGG